Molecule: microRNA precursor, 130 nt
Organism: Brassica oleracea var. oleracea
Lineage: Eukaryota; Viridiplantae; Streptophyta; Magnoliopsida; Brassicales; Brassicaceae
Rfam family: MIR9555 microRNA precursor family
Source: Rfam
UUAUAUAGGUGUAUGUAAUUGCGGGGUUUUAAGUUUUACGGGAAAUCUAACCGAAAGUUUUUUAUUUAAGAAAUUUUCGGUUGGGUUUCCCGUAAAGCUUAAAACCCCACAAUUACAUACGUCUAUAUAA